GGGGAGUACGGUCGCAAGACCGAAACUCAAAGGAAUUGACGGGGGCCUGCACAAGCGGUGGGGCAUGUGGUUUAAUUCGAUACAAUGCGCAAAACCUUACCAGCCCUUGACAUAUGAACAACAAAACCUGUCCUUAACAGGAUGGUACUGACUUUCAUAUAGGUGUUGCAUGGCUGUCGUCAGCUCGUGUCCUGAGAUGUUUGGUCAAGUCCUAUAACGAGCGAAACCCUCGUUUUGUGUUGCUGAGACAUGCGCCUAAGGAGAAAUUGCCACCGAGUGGCGUGCCAGCGCUACUACUUGAUUGAGUGCCAGCACAUAGCUGUGCUUUCAGCAAGAAUUUCACCAUUGGGAGCCGGUGCCUUUCGAAGCACUUUCACGUGUGAACCGAAGUCAUCAUUCCCAAGACCCACGGAGACCUACCUAUAGUGACGUCAAAGUACCAGUGAGCAUGGAGGUUUGGUUGAAAUUGGUUACGACGAUGUCGAGUUGGUGGAGGAGGAAGACUCGGCAUGAAGGCCAGAAAAUGGUGUGGAACGUAGUGGUAAUAGUACGCGCCCCGCUCCGAAACAAAGAAAAAGGUGCGUGCCGCGCUCACGAGGGACUGCCAGUGAGAUAAUGGAGGAAGGUGGGGAUGACGUCAAUUCCGCAUGGCCCUUAUGGGCUGGGCCACACACGUGCUACAAUGGCAAUGACAAUGGGAAGCAAGGCUGUAAGGCGGAGCGAAUUCGGAAAGAUUGCCUCAGUUCGGAUUGUUCUCUGCAACUCAGGAACAUGAAGUUGAAAUCGCUAGUAAUCGCGGAUCAGCAUGCCGCGGUGAAUAUGUACCCGGGCCCUGUACACACCGCCCAUCACACUUUGGGAUUUGGUUUCGCCCGAAGCAUCAGACCAAUGAUCACCCAUGACUUCUGUGUACCACUAGUGCCACAAAGGCCUUUGGUGGUCUUAUUGGCGCAUACCACGGUGGGGUCUUCGACUGGGGUGAAGUCAUAACAAGGUAGCCGUAGGGGAACCUGUGGCUG
RNAcentral lists this ribosomal RNA (1019 nucleotides) under Triticum aestivum (bread wheat). Its description in RNAcentral is "rRNA SSU_rRNA_eukarya". It matches the Rfam family "Bacterial small subunit ribosomal RNA", at positions 875 to 1520 of the family's 1533-position model. The record is from RNAcentral. Lineage: Eukaryota; Viridiplantae; Streptophyta; Magnoliopsida; Poales; Poaceae.